CAAGUCGAGUGCGCGUUUCCGUAGCAAUACGGAAAUGGCGCACGGCGCACGGGUGCGUAACACGUGGGUAAUCUGCCCUCUGAUGGGGAAUAACCCCGCGAAAGCGGGGCUAAUUCCGCAUAACAUUCCUUGGACUCCGGUUCGAGGAUUCAAAGGCGUAAGUCGUCGGAGGUGGAGCCCGCGCACGAUUAGCUAGUUGGUGAGGUAAUGGCUCACCAAGGCUAUGAUCGUUAGCUGGUCUGAGAGGAUGGCCAGCCACACUGGAACUGAGACACGGUCCAGACUCCUACGGGAGGCAGCAGUGGGGAAUCUUGCACAAUGGGCGAAAGCCUGAUGCAGCGACGCCGCGUGGGGGAUGAAGCUUCUCGGAGUGUAAACCCCUUUCGACCGGGACGAAUACCUCGCAAGAGGGGUGACGGUACCGGUAUAAGAAGCCCCGGCUAACUACGUGCCAGCAGCCGCGGUAAGACGUAGGGGGCCAGCGUUGCUCGGAAUUACUGGGUGUAAAGGGUUCGUAGGCGGUGUGGCAAGUCGGGAGUGAAAUCUCUGGGCUUAACCCAGGGGCUGCUUCCGAAACUGCCGUGCUAGAGUGUGGGAGAGGCGCGUGGAAUUGCAGGUGUAGCGGUGAAAUGCGUAGAUAUCUGCAGGAACACCCGUGGCGAAAGCGGCGCGCUGGACCACUACUGACGCUGAGGAACGAAAGCUAGGGGAGCAAACAGGAUUAGAUACCCUGGUAGUCCUAGCCCUAAACGAUCAGGACUUGGGGUGCCACCCGUUCGGGUGUCGUCCCGGAGCUAACGCGUUAAGUCCUGCACCUGGGGAGUACGGUCGCAAGACUGAAACU
This 844-nucleotide ribosomal RNA is filed under the name uncultured Acidobacteriota bacterium. RNAcentral's name for it is "bacterial SSU rRNA". It matches the Rfam family "Bacterial small subunit ribosomal RNA", at positions 58 to 901 of the family's 1533-position model. The record is from RNAcentral. Lineage: Bacteria; Pseudomonadati; Acidobacteriota.